Molecule: ribosomal RNA, 996 nt
Filed under: Triticum aestivum (bread wheat)
Lineage: Eukaryota; Viridiplantae; Streptophyta; Magnoliopsida; Poales; Poaceae
Description: partial small subunit ribosomal RNA
Source: RNAcentral
AUGAACAAAAGAGCCAGGACAAUGACAUCUUUUUUUCAACCACAAAGCACUGAUUCCAUAGUAACAGAAGCAACCCCUGCAACUCGAGCAAGUGAUGACGUUCCUUGUGUCGCAGCCCAACUUAAGCCCGGUGAUAUUGAGCCAGACCCUGGUAAGAGAAUACCUAUUGAGAAUUUGGAUCCCGACAUUAGAGAUCUUGCUAGAAGGAAGUACAUAAGUAUGGGCCCUUGCCAACCAACUGAUCAUAAAUAUGAACGGAAAUGGGUAGGAAAAGGGUUUAGAAGCUUUCAUGAUUCUUGGUACAAAAAUCAUCGUGGUUGGUUGGAAUAUAGCAUUGAUAAAAAUGCAGCCUUUUGCUUUUAUUGCUUUCUAUUUAAGCAACCAAGAGCUGACAACUUUGGUGUUCAAGCAUUCACUAAGAACGGGUUUAAAAAUUGGAAGAAUGGACCUAAAUUUCUUUAUGAACAUGUUGGUAAACAUGACAGUGCUCAUAAUAAGGCUAGACAACACUAUGAGGCUUUCAAAAACCAGAGGCAAAAUCUGCCACAUGUGUUUGAUCGAGGUACUCAGAAGGAGGAAGAAGAAUACAAAGCUCGUCUCUUGAUUAUAUUGGGUGUUAUCAAUUUUUUGUUGCUACAAGGUCUUGCUUUUCGUGGACAUGAUGAGUCUACUAGCUCAAAGAAUAAGGGUAACUUUAAGGAGUUGUUGGGCUGGCUCAUAGAGAAAGACCGAGAUGCACGAAAAUUGAUGGGGGAUGCAGGAGCGAACCAUAAGCUAACUUCACCUGAGAUACAAUUGGACUUGUGCAAGGCUUGUGCAGAAGAGAGCACCAAAACCAUUGUUGAUGAAAUUGGAGAUAGUAAUUUUUCCUUACUUGUUGAUGAGUCCAGAGAUGCAUCUAUCAAGGAGCAAAUGGCUAUGUGUUUGAGGCAUCUCAGCAGCCGAGGGGAGGUGAUUGAGAGGUUUAUUGCAAUCAAGCAUGUUCCUAACACAUAG